GGCCUAACACAUGCAAGUCGAACGCAGUAGCAAUACUGAGUGGCGCACGGGUGAGUAAUACAUGGGAACGUCCCUUUUAGUACGGAAUAACCACGGGAAACUGUGGCUAAUACCGUAUACGCCCUUCGGGGGAAAGAUUUAUCGCUAAAAGAUCGGCCCAUGCCAGAUUAGCUAGUUGGUGAGGUAAUGGCUCACCAAGGCUACGAUCUGUAGCUGGUUUGAGAGGAUGAUCAGCCACACUGGAACUGAGACACGGUCCAGACUCCUACGGGAGGCAGCAGUGGGGAAUAUUGGACAAUGGGGGAAACCCUGAUCCAGCCAUGCCGCGUGAGUUUAAGGCCUUAGGGUUGUAAAGCUC
This 358-nucleotide ribosomal RNA is filed under the name uncultured organism. RNAcentral describes it as "bacterial SSU rRNA". It matches the Rfam family "Bacterial small subunit ribosomal RNA", at positions 45 to 433 of the family's 1533-position model. The record is from RNAcentral.